RNAcentral lists this long non-coding RNA (772 nucleotides) under Homo sapiens (human). RNAcentral describes it as "HSALNT0307364". The record is from RNAcentral. Lineage: Eukaryota; Metazoa; Chordata; Mammalia; Primates; Hominidae.
GAUAAUUUGGUAAGAUUGAAGUCUGCUGUGUAGAUUGCGUACCACCAUGUUCUUCAGAGAGAAAGAGAAUAAAGGUUAAAAGAAAAAGAAAGCAGGAGAGACAAGGUUUUGCCACAUUGCCUAGGCUGGUCUUGAACUCAGAGCUCAAGCGGUCCACCCACCUCGGCCUCCUGAAGUGUUGGGAUUACAGGCUGGAGUGCAGUGGUGUGAGCACAGCUCACUGCAGCCUCAAACUCCUGGGCUCAAGUGCUGCUCCUGCCUCAGCCUCCUGCAAAGCUGGAACUACAGGUCACAUCUCAAAUAUGAACAUCACCCAGAGGUUACCCAGGUGAUCCCAGGCCAUCUCGGGUAUGCAGCUGUGCAGAACUUGAUCUUGAAGGACAGAUGGCAUUAGGGGGAGUUCUUUUAUACCUUGCACUGACCAGGGCUAAGUUUCUGACAUUUCUGUCUGCAGACAACAAAAGGCUUUCAUCAUGAGCUGCUUUCUGAUGCGUGCUUAAAACCAAGUUGAACGCAUUAAAAGGGCGAAGAAGCAGAAAUCUACUCGCUGUGCUCUGUGAAGAAUUAAAUAAAAUUUUGAUGGGGGUCGAAGGAAGGAGAAAUAGAUUUUAAAAAAUCUUUAUGCUCUCUCCUCCAAAAACUUGGAUUUAAUGUGUAUUUUGGGCUAAUUCUAAUUCUCCAUUCAUGCCAAUACACAUUAAAUCCUAUAUUUUCUUUAAAAAUAGACAUUUUAAAUAAAAUGUUUAAUGCAAAUUACAUUUAGCUGAGUUUG